AGUGAACGCUGGCGGUAGGCCUAACACAUGCAAGUCGAACGGCAGCACAGUAAGAGCUUGCUCUUACGGGUGGCGAGUGGCGGACGGGUGAGGAAUACAUCGGAAUCUACUUUUUCGUGGGGGAUAACGUAGGGAAACUUACGCUAAUACCGCAUACGACCUACGGGUGAAAGCAGGGGAUCUUCGGACCUUGCGCGAUUGAAUGAGCCGAUGUCGGAUUAGCUAGUUGGCGGGGUAAAGGCCCACCAAGGCGACGAUCCGUAGCUGGUCUGAGAGGAUGAUCAGCCACACUGGAACUGAGACACGGCCCAGACUCCUACGGGAGGCAGCAGUGGGGAAUAUUGGACAAUUGGCGCAAGCCUGAUCCAGCCAUACCGCGUGGGUGAAGAAGGCCUUCGGGUUGUAAAGCCCUUUUGUUGGGAAAGAAAAGCAGCAGGUUAAUACCCCGCUGUUCUGACGGUACCCAAAGAAUAAGCACCGGCUAACUUCGUG
This 492-nucleotide ribosomal RNA is filed under the name uncultured bacterium. Its description in RNAcentral is "partial 16S ribosomal RNA". It matches the Rfam family "Bacterial small subunit ribosomal RNA", at positions 29 to 507 of the family's 1533-position model. The record is from RNAcentral.